Molecule: unclassified non-coding RNA, 160 nt
Filed under: uncultured Helotiales
Lineage: Eukaryota; Fungi; Ascomycota; Leotiomycetes; Helotiales
Description: sequence contains ITS1
Source: RNAcentral
AAGAGAAACUGCCCUCUGGGUAGAUCUCCCACCCUUUGUUUAUUUUACCUUUGUUGCUUUGGCAGGCCCGUCUUUUGACCACCGGCUUUUAGCUGGUCCGUGCCUGCCAGAGGACCCUAAACUCAUGAUUUCAUGUUGUCCGAGUCUUGUAUAAUAGUUA